This 267-nucleotide ribosomal RNA is filed under the name uncultured bacterium. RNAcentral's name for it is "partial 16S ribosomal RNA". It matches the Rfam family "Bacterial small subunit ribosomal RNA", at positions 793 to 1055 of the family's 1533-position model. The record is from RNAcentral.
GUCCACGCUGUAAACGAUGGGCACUAGGUGUCCGGGGUAUUGACCCCCUGGGUGCCGCAGCUAACGCAUUAAGUGCCCCGCCUGGGGGAGUACGGUCGCAAGAUUAAAACUCAAAGGAAUUGACGGGGGCCCGCACAAGCGGUGGAGCAUGUGGUUCAAUUCGACGCAACGCGAAGAACCUUACCUGGGCUAGACAACGGUGGACCGUCCUAGAAAAUAGGAUCUUCCCUUCGGGGACCACCGGUUCAGGUGCUGCAUGGCUGUCGU